This 213-nucleotide ribosomal RNA is filed under the name uncultured bacterium. RNAcentral's name for it is "partial 16S ribosomal RNA". It matches the Rfam family "Bacterial small subunit ribosomal RNA", at positions 524 to 734 of the family's 1533-position model. The record is from RNAcentral.
UACGGAGGGUGCAAGCGUUAUCCGGAUUCACUGGGUUUAAAGGGUGCGUAGGAGGGCAGGUAAGUCAGUGGUGAAAUCCCCGAGCUUAACUUGGGAACUGCCGUUGAUACUAUCUGUCUUGAAUAUCGUGGAGGUGAGCGGAAUAUGUCAUGUAGCGGUGAAAUGCAUAGAUAUGUCACAGAACACCAAUUUGCGAAAGGCAGCUUACUAAGG